RNAcentral lists this ribosomal RNA (265 nucleotides) under uncultured bacterium. RNAcentral describes it as "partial 16S ribosomal RNA". It matches the Rfam family "Bacterial small subunit ribosomal RNA", at positions 793 to 1055 of the family's 1533-position model. The record is from RNAcentral.
GUCCACGCUGUAAACGAUGGGCACUAGGUGUCCGGGGUAUUGACCCCCUGGGUGCCGCAGCUAACGCAUUAAGUGCCCCGCCUGGGGAGUACGGUCGCAAGAUUAAAACUCAAAGGAAUUGACGGGGGCCCGCACAAGCGGUGGAGCAUGUGGUUCAAUUCGACGCAACGCGAAGAACCUUACCUGGGCUAGACAACGGUGGACAGCUCUAGAAAUAGGGUCUUCCCUUCGGGGACUGCCGGUUCAGGUGCUGCAUGGCUGUCGU